UACGUAGGGGGCUAGCGUUGUCCGGAUUUAUUGGGCGUAAAGAGCGUGUAGGCGGCCAUGUAGGUCCGGUGUGAAAACUCGAGGCUUAACCUCGAGAUGUCAUCGGAAACCAUUUGGCUAGAGUCCGGAAGAGGAGAGUGGAAUUCCUGGUGUAGCGGUGAAAUGCGCAGAUAUCGGGAGGAACACCAGUAGCGAAGGCGGAGACCUGGGCCAAUACUGACGCUGAGGUGCGAAAGCGUGGGGAGCAAACAGG
RNAcentral lists this ribosomal RNA (253 nucleotides) under uncultured bacterium. Its description in RNAcentral is "partial 16S ribosomal RNA". It matches the Rfam family "Bacterial small subunit ribosomal RNA", at positions 524 to 776 of the family's 1533-position model. The record is from RNAcentral.